RNAcentral lists this ribosomal RNA (446 nucleotides) under uncultured bacterium. RNAcentral describes it as "partial 16S ribosomal RNA". It matches the Rfam family "Bacterial small subunit ribosomal RNA", at positions 354 to 796 of the family's 1533-position model. The record is from RNAcentral.
GUGAGGAAUAUUGGUCAAUGGGCGCAAGCCUGAACCAGCCAUCCCGCGUGCAGGAAGACGGCGCUAUGCGUUGUAAACUGCUUUUCCAGGGGGAGAAACUUGCGCACGUGUUGCGCAAUUGACGGUACCCUGGGAAUAAGCAUCGGCUAACUCCGUGCCAGCAGCCGCGGUAAUACGGAGGAUGCGAGCGUUAUCCGGAUUCAUUGGGUUUAAAGGGUGUGUAGGCGGACUAUUAAGUCAGUGGUGAAAUCCUGCAGCUUAACUGCAGAACUGCCAUUGAUACUGAUAGCCUUGAGUUUGGUUAAGGUAGGCGGAAUGUGUAAUGUAGCGGUGAAAUGCUUAGAUAUUACACAGAACACCAAUUGCGUAGGCAGCUUACUGAGCCGACACUGACGCUGAGGCACGAAAGCGUGGGGAUCGAACAGGAUUAGAAACCCUUGUAGUCC